GUUAAAUUUCAUGCCAUUUAGAAGCAGAGUCCCAAGUUAGUGUAAUUGUAUUUUGCUUUGUUUGUGCGAUAUCUUAAUAUAUAUGCACUUUAUAGGUAGAUACAAUUCUUGAUAACACUGUGAAGGAAAUAAAGGAACGAGUAUCAGAAUAGCAGUAAAAGUUUCCUGAGUAAAAGUCACUGGUCUAAAUCUACAGGCAUUUAUGUGGGGUUGGUGUGGUGGGGACUUAAUGAGUUGGGGUCAGUCCAAGUAGAUCGUGUCCUGUAGCAAGUCAUUAAAGUAAAAGAUUUUUUACUGUAGGAUGGUCUAAGGCAGUUCUUCCUGACUUCAGAGUGAUGCUCAGCAUGCGGCACAGGCUGCAGGUCUCCCCAGAACAUCUGGGCUUCAUGUGCGCUCAGAAGGCAAGCGUGGCCAGGACGCUUGUGCAUUGGCUUUUAGCCAUUGAGUUCUGCUGUGUGGUUGUGUCUUGACUGAGUUCCAGGAUAUUCUCACUGUAAGCACACAGGAAGAGGGAGGUCAGCAUUCAAGAACUGACUUGCCACCACCUCUUCAUCCUUUCCUGUCCUGAAAAUCUGUCUUUCCUCCACAAUUUCCUAAUUUUCACUUAGUGGUUUUUAAUAUAUUCCCACCAGCUUAUACCAUUGGUGGUACAAAUGGACCUAAUCAUUUUUAUCAGUCUUCUGACUAAUAAUAAAAAUUAAUAAAAAGCUGCCAGAUGGACAGUCACACCAGUGGUUCAAGUUGCCUGGCACUGAGAUGUAGGAAUUCCGGCCCCUUCGUGAGCAUGUUAGCCACUGUAGCUGUCUUCCUUGUGGUGCAGCGUGCCUCCCUGACAGGCUGAGGCUGUCUGCUCCAGAAACUGUUUUAGCACAGCUCAGCAUUUCAAUGAUGGGACUCGGGGAGCUUGAUGGAUCAUUUUCUUAGCAAAGUCUUAGAAUGCUCAUCCUUCACCAAGCACAUACUACAGCUCACACCAAGUUGUUUUCUUCAUUAGUAAUUUUUAACCUCCUUCAUUUCUGAACAUUUGUAUAAAGGAAUUUCACUGACUUUAGCUCUCACAGACUUUCAUCCUGAGUUUUGUUUUGGGAGCUAUAGCUUCAUAUAUAUUUCAUGUAUUAAAAAUCCAGUCUUCAUUUUAUGUAAAGUUAAGUUGCAUUCUUAGAACAUUAAUUUCAGAAUGCUAGAACAUAUGUUCUCAGAAUGCUUGAUUUGUUUUUUGAAGGAUAGAAGUCAGUAAUAACCUUGAGGCUGAGGAAUUUGUUUGUCUUGCCUUUGAUUGAUAAAUCUUUAGACCUUUUGGCCCCUCCUGGAGUGAACAUUCUCCAUGGCCUUGUCAUGCUAGUUCCACAUUUUCUCAUAUCCAUGUGACAGUCAUCGGUGGCCCCUCUAACAGGCUUAUGAGGAUCCUUUGAUUUGCACCCUUAACCAGCUGUGUGCACUAGUCACCAUUUUCGUUUAUCUGACGAGCACUGGUGAAAGGACUGCCUUAGGUGCAUUAGAUCUAAACUGGGCUCUGGGAGACAAAGGCAGAUAAGCCACAGCCCCUGUGCCCAAGGACUCCUGGGGAUUUCGUUUCCAGGACUGGUGAGG
Molecule: long non-coding RNA, 1590 nt
Organism: Heterocephalus glaber (naked mole-rat)
Lineage: Eukaryota; Metazoa; Chordata; Mammalia; Rodentia; Bathyergidae
Source: Ensembl